GGAAGUAGAAAUGAGACAGAGGCCUCUGUCUCCUAAUCUUUUCCAUAGGCUACUGUUUUCUUUCUUUUCUCAUGAGGAAAAAUGAUAAAAGCAAAAUAAACAAAUUAGCUACCACUUAUGAAAAUCCCCAGGAAAUUCCUUUUCCAGAGUUCUCACUUACUAAUUUGGCUAACAUUACCAAUGGUAACAGACCCCACGUAUCCGCCACAAUUGCUGUGAGUUGCAGAGGAAAAAGACUGGGAGGAAAUCUUCACUUUUCUUCUGCAACAGCAACCAACAGAAAUGAAAGAGCCAGGGGAUUUUGCAAAAUAUCAACUCCUGAGAACUAAGAAUGAGAGCCUUUCCUGCCAAGCCCAUUCUGUGCCAGUCAUCAUAAAAUACUAUGACCCUUCCUUCCAGAAGAACAAUGCGCUGUGAUCUUUGGCUACUCAAGCUUUACAUCAUCCAUAUUACCCUGCAGCAGGAACAGAUUGAUGGGGAUUCUAUAGCACAUCCUUGAAUUGUGUUUAUCCAAUCCACAUUUCUCUUCUGCUGGACAUUCAGAGGACUGUUUCUCACUAAUAUCAGGCCUUUUUCAGUUAUGAGUGAAUCCCAAAUCAAACUGACUUAAGAAACACAAAAGAGAAAUCUGUCUUGGUGUUGGAGCCUCUUGGAAUUCGUGACAAGGAAAAAAGUACACCAAGUAAACUAGUAAAACAAAAGUGAGAAGGCCCUUGACAGAUGUGAGCCCCUUGACCUUGGACUUCCCAGCCUCAAGAACCACAAGCCAAAUAAAUUUCUGUUCAUUAUA
Molecule: long non-coding RNA, 790 nt
Filed under: Homo sapiens (human)
Lineage: Eukaryota; Metazoa; Chordata; Mammalia; Primates; Hominidae
Description: novel transcript
Source: RNAcentral